UUGUGAAUUUGGGCCUGGCAUUUUAUGCCGGAAUCUAGUAUCGGCCAGACGGGUUCAUUUUUAAUUCAUUGUGAGUUUAAAUGUCCUUAAAAUUCAUAUUUAAUAUUCUCAUCAGCUUAACCAAUCUUUAUCUUAUCUCUAGGGUGUCACAGCGUUAAAUGCCCAAGGCUGCUCAUGUUAUAUUCAAAUCAACAUUCAGCAAUAAAAUAUUGUCAUUUUGAUUCCAUUCCAGUAUUCUUAAUGUCAGCCCUAGUCUCCUGUAAGCUUCCACCAAACUUAACUUGUACUUUCAACCAAGAACAAAGUUAUACUUUUAAUAUCCCCAUUGAUUAUGUACAAGUAUACCAAGCAGUAUUAGUUGUACAAUACAAUGGGUUAAAAGACAAUAUUCUUUUAUUAGUCACAUUCUUAUAAGGCCAUAUUCUUGUAUGAUUUCUAUUUCCUGACAUUUAAAGAAAACUUAAAUUAACUAAGUUAGUGUGAUAUUAUAAUGUUUUGUUUCUAAUCGAAUACAGUAUUGUUUUAUUCUGUUUACAGUAACAUAAAAUUGAUGCAAAGCCAAUGCAAUCAUUGUGAUUUAAAAAUAAAUUACUGUGCGAUGUAACAUGCUUUAUGAUCAAUCAUGAUUUAUUUGCAGGUUAUGUGAUUUCAGACCAAACACUUCAACUAAAAGUUUAAAAGAAAGUCAUUCCUUUUCCAAGAAGUUAAAUCCUGUACAAGGUUAUGAGUCAUUUGCAUGGUACAUGGUAUAUUUUUCAUGAAAAAGAUUAAGACUGUAAACAAAUUAUAUAAUAUCAUCAGGCCUCGUAAUACUGUUAAUUCCAUUUUCUAUUGUGUAACUAACUGAAUUCAAAGUAUACUGUUUUAGAUAUCGAUGAAAUACACAACUUUCAUAUGUAUUCAUUCCAUUUGCUACUUACGAGUAUGUAACAACAAAAGCAUCAUUUUGAUGUUAUGAUGUCUUAAACAUUAUUAACCAAUUUUCUAUAUUCUUAAUUUAUUUUUUUUUCAUGAUAAUAUCAAUUCUUUUCAAAACCUUCCAAAUUUCAUUUUGUUUCCUCUCUCUCUUUCCUCGAAGAAGAGUUUGUGUUAAACUUCAAUGAGUUACAUUCCAAGCGAUGCACUCUGGCUUCAGGUUUUUAGUGCAUCCGAUGUUCCUAGUUGCUACUGGCUGCAGCUCUCUUAACAAAUUUGUUUUAUCCCCAGAUGCUGUACAAAUACUUGAAUGAAGUCCAUGAAAUUUAAUAUGGAUGGACAUCUGAUACAGCAUCCCCCCGCCUCUCAACUCAUCCUCCAAAUAGAAUGUGAGGGCCAACUGAUAUAGCUCCUCAGAAUCAAGUCUUCCUAUAAAUGAUUAAUUGUAGAGAUGUUACAAUUAGUAUUUGUAUUUACAUGCUGCUGCUAUGUUUGGCAACCUAUGUCUUUGAGUAGCCCACAUUUUCUUUGAUAUGAAUUCUCGAUCUGUUAAGACUAGGCUCCAUUGAAGUUACAGAUGCAUUUAUAUACUGGGUAGUGUCGGUGUACAGAAUCAUGUCAAAGACCAGGGCUCCGUAACACAAAGAUUAGUGAUCAAUCGCUCAAUGAACUGACCAAUCAAUAUCAAUGUUACACACGCAUUCGGUUUAAAAUGCUGACCAGGGACCAAUCAGUGCGUUUUUUUUAUAUUUGCAAUCCAUCGCAAACCUUUGUGUUACGGAGCCCAGCUUGCGAAACCUCCCCAGUCUUUGACCAUUUUUCACACAUAUUCACCAAAGGAUUAGAACAAACAAUGUCAUCAAUAGUUUGCUAUAGAUAUACAUGGAUUACAUUCUCAGUGAUUGUAGCUAGUAACUUUGUGCAAAUCAAAUGAACUUCAGUAAAUUAAUUCUUAUUUUCUGCUACAAGGAGGUAUUCAUCACAUCAGUUAGUUAUGUAUUUGCAAUCAAUUGUAAGAUUUAUGAUUUGCUUACAAAUGAUAGGAAGUUAAUUGCAAUGCCUUAUUGACCUUUGUUGAAUAGCCCUGAGAAUGAUAUCAUAAUGUAUAUAUUAACAUGAUGAUACUUUCUAACUUAAACUCUAUUUUAUUCUUGUUGUACAUGUAUUAAUUUUGUCAGUUUUAUACUUGUCUUUUAUUUCAUGUUGAUAUCUUUGUUUGAUUGGUAAUGAUUUCAAAGGCCACCACUAAUCUUACUAGUGGUUUAUGAUCCUAGUUAGGAACAAAUUGCAAUUUUUAUUUUUAUGAAAAUAUAAAAAGAGAAAAUUUUCCUACAUGGGUUCAAAAUAACAAUAAGAAUACAGAUAUUGAAAUUUGAAUCUUUAGUGUAGAACUUAGUUCAAAAUGUUUUCAGAUUGUACCUGGUUGACAUCAUUAUGAAUUAGACAUUGAAUUUGCCUUUCAUGAAUAGGAUUGCAGUAGUCAUGAUUUUAAACUUCAGUAUUGGUAUAAAACUCUGGACAGAAAUAUUUUUUAUGUUCCAAUGUUUACAUCAACAUAACAUUCCCAUAUUUGGUAGAAAACCAAUUGUAAGUUGUGUGGUGGCUUUGACUUGUACAUAUUAUAUUUGAAUAUUUGAAUUUGCUUCUACACAUAUUUUUUAUCAUUUAACAUACAACUGUCAAAAUCUCAUUUGCACAAUACUGAAUCAAUGCUAUGACUGUUUUUUUUUUGGGAUUAAAAAAUGAAAAGGAAAUAUUAUAUUAUUAGCUAUUAUAUGGCUAUUAAAAAGUAUAUAGGUAUCCAGAGUAGUAAUCACAGAAAGUUCGGCAAGGUUUCACAAAUCUCCGUAAUAAAGAAUGUAACCCUGUUUCUUUUAUAUGUGUCUUAAACUCAAUGCACACAUCUUAUUGGUAAUAUCUUUGAUCUGACUGGAUGUUUUGUAAAAGGCUACCUUGCGAUAUGUGUCAGCUAUUGUCUGUUUAAAAAAAGAUAAGCAAUAAUACUUUCAAUAACACUAUAUACUCUAUUUGUUCUAAAUUAUGAUUUAUCAAGUGCAGUUAAUAUUACAGAGCAUAUUUUCAUGCGUAGAUUUUUUCUUCAUUGAAUAUGAUUUUCUUUUGCAAUUCAAAAUAGAUUGUAAGCUCUUACUAGAUUGUGCUUCCAUAUCUACUCUGUUCAUGUUGUAUUCUUACUUUAUAUGAUUUACUGAAUGUUGGUUAUAAAGUGCUUGCAAAAUAUACUAAAUAGCACAUUUGGUCAAAGAUUAUUUAUUACCACUAAAAAUGUUCGUCGAAAACAAUUUAUCAAUAUACCAGUAUAUCAUUAAAUUAUGCACAGUGUAUUUACCAAUGGAAAUUAUUUUGCCUUGUUUUUGUAGUAAUAGAUUAUAAAUUUAAAUGACAUAAACCAGUUCUACAACUGAUUGAAACAAGUCACAAACUUGGAGUUGGAAUAGAUUAGAAUCAUGUGCAACUGUUUAUUUGAAGGGGCUAAUAUAUGAAAUCAGUUCAAAUGAUACUAGAUCAAAUGAUGGUUUGGAAACAUAUUCUCUUUAAUAUGAGUGUGAUAAAUGACCCUGCUUGUCUUGCUUAUCAUAAAAUGUUUAGGUUGACGUUGCCCAAGAUACUUCAUUGAAUCUCAGUUAACCUCCAUGCAUAUUUGUAAUGUAUGUUAGAUAAUAUACCCUUCCAAGUUAUCCUUCAUUAUUUUGUUUCCAUCUUUAUUGACUUAAACAUUCCUGAUGGUUUACGUUAUGUGCUAGCACCAGAAUACAUUUUGCUAUUUUAUGUUAAAUUAUGAGUUUAUAACUUCUAUGGUUUUUUUUUCUAAUUAGGUGUUUAUAUAAAUGAAAAAAUAUAUAAACAAAUAUUUUCUUUGGGUAAUCAUUAAUAUUAGACAGUUAUCAGAUUUACUGUUGACUUUUUAAUAUCUUUUGGUGUUGGGCCAAACUAAACUAAACUUUAGAUAAAGCUCACUUGGUGUCGAGCUAUCAAGUACAUGACUACUUAAAUCUUCUUUGUAAACUCGCGUUAGGCCUUUAGAAAGGGAAUCUGAAUUGUGCUUUAGGUCCCAGAAUGAACAUAUCUUCAUGUUGAGUUUCAAGAUGAUGCUUGUUAAUUGUGGGCUCCUGAAUACUGCUCCUUUACAGAUUAGAAAGAGAGGUCACCAGAACCCAUGCUUACAAAGGGUCGUGAUCAGUUACAGAAAUCUAACAAUGUCAUAAUUCUUUAUGAUAAAAAGAAUUGUACUUAACAUCCCUUUAGAAAGAAAGAGAAGCACAUUGAUUUGUCAGGACAAUGAUGUAUGCGUAUUUGGCAUUACUGGCCUGCCAUAGCUCUUUAGAAGCCAGGGCCCAAAUAUCUACAGUAAUUAGUCGAUCAACCAUGAAAUGCAGGUGACAAGGGAACAGGACAAGAAGUAUAGAGAAACUUUCUUUUAUGUGAUGAUAUCUAUACUUUUUUUCAUUUAAUCAUUUUAAACUCAUUUUACUUCAAAUCUAAAGCCUGCUGUGCACAAAUACAACAUAUUGUUGAAGUUGUGGAGAUUAAUUGCCAAAUAUUUUUGUGUAAAAUGUACUGUAAUGAAAAUGUACUUGGGAGUACUGUUAUGUUACACAUUAAGUACUGAUUACAGUUAUGACUUGAUGUAUAUUCUUGAGUGCCUUAUAUUUAAAACUAAUUGAAAAAUUGUAUACAUUGAACAGGGUGCCAUUUAUUAAUCUUUUAUUUACUUUUUUUCUUUUUGUGGCCCAAUGAUUAUUUGCUUUGUAUGUAGAUGUAUGAUAUUCAAAAUAAAUUAUGUUGCAUUAUAUUUUAUGCCUUGUGUGAUCUAUGACCUGUAACAACAAAGAUACAUUCAAGUUUAUAAUUAAUUGUAACAUGAGCUUAUAGAAAAUCAUGUAGGGUUACAAUUAAAAUUGCAGAUAUUGAUUUUAUCCGUCUAUGAAACAGACCCCGAGUUUGGGCCAAUUUUGGUAGAGACAUGUAUUAGUUGCUAGAAUUUAUUUAAUGAGAUGUAGUCAUUGUUUAUGCGGUACUUGUGUAGCAUAUGAAUAUUAAUUAAUACUUUGAUUCUGAUUCAAAUUUCAAAAGUACUUCCCCUUAAUCAACCUCUAGAUCAGAUUUUCAUGUUCUUUAUUUCUUUGUGAGAUAUCAACCAUACUAUUGGCAAUACUUCAUAUAAAUGUGACUUCAAAAUGUACUGUGAAAGUUAUAGUAUGAUAUCAAGAAAAAUAUAACUUUUGUGAUGUAGAAAAGAAAUUUGCAUUUAUAAAUACUCUAUAUCUUCUAUAGCCAAAUAUUGUGAAAUAAAAAUAUGAUUAUAUUCAUGA
Molecule: long non-coding RNA, 5246 nt
Organism: Lytechinus variegatus (green sea urchin)
Lineage: Eukaryota; Metazoa; Echinodermata; Echinoidea; Temnopleuroida; Toxopneustidae
Exons: 2
Source: RefSeq, a predicted model, not a curated record